GACGAACGCUGGCGGCGUGCUUAACACAUGCAAGUCGAACGGAAAGGCCCUGCUUGCAGGGUACUCGAGUGGCGAACGGGUGAGUAACACGUGGGUGAUCUGCCCUUCACUUCGGGAUAAGCCUGGGAAACUGGGUCUAAUACCGGAUAGGAGCCAUUUUUAGUGUGAUGGUUGGAAAGUUUUUUCGGUAUAGGAUGAGCUCGCGGCCUAUCAGCUUGUUGGUGGGGUAAUGGCCUACCAAGGCGGCGACGGGUAGCCGGCCUGAGAGGGUGGACGGCCACAUUGGGACUGUGAUACGGCCCAGACACCUACGGGAGGAAGCAGUGGGGAAUCUUGCACAAUGGGCGUAAGCCUGAUGGAGCGAAGCCGCGUGGGGGAGGACAGCCUUUUGGUGGUAAACACCAUUCGCUAUUAACGAAGCUUUUUGUGACGGUACCUAGAGAAGAAGCACCGGCUAACUACGUG
This 465-nucleotide ribosomal RNA is filed under the name uncultured bacterium. RNAcentral's name for it is "partial 16S ribosomal RNA". It matches the Rfam family "Bacterial small subunit ribosomal RNA", at positions 28 to 507 of the family's 1533-position model. The record is from RNAcentral.